RNAcentral lists this ribosomal RNA (1290 nucleotides) under Triticum aestivum (bread wheat). Its description in RNAcentral is "partial small subunit ribosomal RNA". Lineage: Eukaryota; Viridiplantae; Streptophyta; Magnoliopsida; Poales; Poaceae. The record is from RNAcentral.
CUUCCCUAGAAUUCCUCCCGCCGCCGCCACCUGGUCGCUCCCCUCGGGAUCCCCUCCCUCGAUCCCGCUACCUCCUAGCAAAAUUCCUCGAUCCAGAUCCACCAACCACCGAUCCAUCCAUCUGGGACCGCCGGAUAGAGAUCCGACGGCCACCAGGCGGCCCGCAGCCGAGCCUCUUACUCCCUCCUCGAUCCAGAUCGAGAGGAGCUCGCCCGAGCUGCACCUCCAGGACCCCGCGCCACGGAGGAGCCGCCUCGUCGCCGGAAACCAGCGCCCCUCCACCUCGUCUCGCGGCCUCCUCUGCUUCACUUCGAGAACCCCAGCGUGAGCCGCAGCCAUCUCCCUCGCGUCCUCCCUCCUCGCCGGCGUUCUGCUCGAGGACCAGCCCCGCGCACCCCUGUGCUCACGAGCAGCAAACCCCGAGGACGCCAGCCGCCUCCCGCAACCCUGCGUCGCCUCCUCCCUGUCUUGCCUCGCCGGUGACUGCUGCUACCUCCGGAAACGCAAUGGAUGGCCUCCCGUAGCUCCAACUCCGGCCACCUCGUCUCCGCGGUGACCUGACGCCUCGGGUUCCGUCCGACCGCCGGCGUCCCAUCCUCACCUCUGCUUCGAACUCACGCGUGUGCCUGCCUCCCUCGCCUCGCAAGCCUCGUCGCGGGUCAACCGCAUCGGCCGUCUUGGGCUCCCUCACGGAGCACCACCACCGCAUCUCCGGCCAGAUCCGUCGAGUCCCGGCCAUCUCCGCCGUUCUUGGUCCUCCCCGCCACCCAAGUCCCUCGCCGGAGAGCACCACGCCGCCGCUGACUCUGCUUCACCUGAACCGGGGGUCCUCUUUCUGCUUCGCCCCGCGCCAAGAUCCGCUUCCAUUGACUGCCUCCUCGCUCGAUCUGGUCGAGUCGUCAACCACCACACAGCAGGCCCAGCGGGUCUCCAGGCCCAACUCCCGCCCCAAGCCUGCCAGCCUCUGCAGGCCAAAGGCCUCAAGGGCCCGAUGUGAGCAGCUCCCGCAGCCCUCCAGUUUUGGCCCGAUAUGUUUUUUCCUGUUGCUGCGAAUUUAGCUAAUUUCCAGAGUUUAUGGUUUUUCAGAAAAGUCCUUCAUGUUCAUGCAUUAACAACUCUUGAACCGUGCAUCGGUUUUAAACAAAUUAUAUAUGUAAAAUGCUUAGAAUUUCAUCUAGUUUCUUAAUAUGACACUUUCAUCUAUAUUUAAAAUGUUUAAAUUGCCGUUUGUAUUUAAUUUGCAUAAAUGCCAUGUUAAAAUGUUUUAUUUCAUAACUAAAUAACUGUAGC